ACUCCUACGGGAGGCAGCAGUGGGGAAUUUUGGACAAUGGGCGAAAGCCUGAUCCAGCAAUGCCGCGUGCAGGAUGAAGGCCUUCGGGUUGUAAACUGCUUUUGUACGGAACGAAAAAGCUCCUUCUAAUACAGGGGGCCCAUGACGGUACCGUAAGAAUAAGCACCGGCUAACUACGUGCCAGCAGCCGCGGUAAUACGUAGGGUGCGAGCGUUAAUCGGAAUUACUGGGCGUAAAGCGUGCGCAGGCGGUUAUGUAAGACAGAUGUGAAAUCCCCGGGCUCAACCUGGGAACUGCAUUUGUGACUGCAUGGCUAGAGUACGGUAGAGGGGGAUGGAAUUCCGCGUGUAGCAGUGAAAUGCGUAGAUAUGCGGAGGAACACCGAUGGCGAAGGCAAUCCCCUGGACCUGUACUGACGCUCAUGCACGAAAGCGUGGGGAGCAAACAGGAUUAGAAACCCCUGUAGUCCCAU
This 472-nucleotide ribosomal RNA is filed under the name uncultured organism. Its description in RNAcentral is "partial 16S ribosomal RNA". It matches the Rfam family "Bacterial small subunit ribosomal RNA", at positions 335 to 798 of the family's 1533-position model. The record is from RNAcentral.